RNAcentral lists this ribosomal RNA (425 nucleotides) under uncultured bacterium. RNAcentral's name for it is "bacterial SSU rRNA". It matches the Rfam family "Bacterial small subunit ribosomal RNA", at positions 354 to 796 of the family's 1533-position model. The record is from RNAcentral.
GUGGGGAAUAUUGGACAAUGGGGGCAACCCUGAUCCAGCCAUGCCGCGUGAGUGAUGAAGGCCUUAGGGUUGUAAAGCUCUUUUACCGAUGAAGAUAAUGACGGUAGUCGGAGAAAAAGCCCCGGCUAACUUCGUGCCAGCAGCCGCGGUAAUACGAAGGGGGCUAGCGUUGUUCGGAUUUACUGGGCGUAAAGCGUGCGUAGGUGGUCUCGUAAGUCAGUGGUGAAAUCCCGGAGCUUAACUCCGGAACUGCCAUUGAAACUGCGAGGCUUGAAUCUCAAAGGGGGUGGCGGAAUUCCUAAUGUAGGGGUGAAAUCCGUAGAUAUUAGGAGGAACACCGAUGGCGAAGGCAGCCACCUGGGUGAGUAUUGACACUGAGGCACGAAAGCGUGGGGAUCAAACAGGAUUAGAUACCCGUGUAGUCC